Molecule: ribosomal RNA, 445 nt
Filed under: uncultured bacterium
Lineage: Bacteria
Description: partial 16S ribosomal RNA
Rfam family: Bacterial small subunit ribosomal RNA
Source: RNAcentral
GUGAGGAAUAUUGGUCAAUGGGCGCAAGCCUGAACCAGCCAUGCCGCGUGCAGGAAGACGGUCCUAUGGAUUGUAAACUGCUUUUAUUUGGGAAUAAACUCCGGUACGUGUACCGGCCUGAAGGAACCAAAUGAAUAAGCACCGGCUAACUCCGUGCCAGCAGCCGCGGUAAUACGGAGGGUGCAAGCGUUAUCCGGAAUCAUUGGGUUUAAAGGGUCCGCAGGCGGUCUCAUAAGUCAGUGGUGAAAGCCUACAGCUCAACUGUAGAACUGCCAUUGAUACUGUAGGACUUGAAUUCGAUCGAAGUGGGCGGAAUGUGACAUGUAGCGGUGAAAUGCUUAGAUAUGUCACAGAACACCGAUAGCGAAGGCAGCUCACUAGGUCUGGAUUGACGCUCAGGGACGAAAGCGUGGGGAGCAAACAGGAUUAGAAACCCCUGUAGUCC